UCUUCCGUAGUAUAGUGGUCAGUAUGCAAGCUUGUCACGCUUGAGAGACCCGGGUUCAAUUCCCGGCGAGAGCC
Molecule: transfer RNA, 74 nt
Filed under: Metarhizium album ARSEF 1941
Lineage: Eukaryota; Fungi; Ascomycota; Sordariomycetes; Hypocreales; Clavicipitaceae
Rfam family: tRNA
About the family: Transfer RNA (tRNA) molecules are approximately 80 nucleotides in length. Their secondary structure includes four short double-helical elements and three loops (D, anti-codon, and T loops).
Source: Rfam by way of RNAcentral